UCCCUUGUGGCUCAGCUGGUAAAGCAUCUGCCUUGCAAUGCAGGAGACCUGGGUUCAAUCCCUGGUUCAGGAA
Molecule: transfer RNA, 73 nt
Filed under: Bos taurus (domestic cattle)
Lineage: Eukaryota; Metazoa; Chordata; Mammalia; Artiodactyla; Bovidae
Also listed under: 2 other names
Rfam family: tRNA
About the family: Transfer RNA (tRNA) molecules are approximately 80 nucleotides in length. Their secondary structure includes four short double-helical elements and three loops (D, anti-codon, and T loops). Further hydrogen bonds mediate the characteristic L-shaped molecular structure. tRNAs have two regions of fundamental functional importance: the anti-codon, which is responsible for specific mRNA codon recognition, and the 3' end, to which the tRNAs corresponding amino acid is attached (by aminoacyl-tRNA synthetases). tRNAs cope with the degeneracy of the genetic code in two manners: having more than one tRNA (with a specific anti-codon) for a particular amino acid; and 'wobble' base-pairing, i.e. permitting non-standard base-pairing at the 3rd anti-codon position.
Source: Rfam by way of RNAcentral